ACUCAAAGGAAUUGACGGGGCCCCGCACAAGCGGUGGAGCAUGUUGUUUAAUACGUCACUAACCGUAGAACCUUACCAGGGCUUGACAUCGGCUGCCCGCCGGUGAAAGCCGGUCUUUCCCGCAAGGGAACAGCCAGACAGGUGUUGCAUGGCUGUCGUCAGCUCGUGUCGUGAGAUGUUGGGUUAAGUCCCGCAACGAGCGCAACCCUCACCCCAUGUUGCCAGCGAGUGAAGUCGGGAACUCUUGGGGAACUGCCGGGGUAACUCGGAGGAAGGUGGGGAUGACGUCAAGUCAGCAUGGCCCUUACGCCCUGGGCUACAAACAUGCUACAAUGGACGGCAGACAAAGGGAACCGAAGCCGCGAGGUGGAGGCAAUCUCAAAAAUCCGUUCUCAGUUCAGAUCGCAGGCUGCAACUCGCCUGCGUGAAGUCGGAAUCGCUAGUAACCGCCGAUCAGCGAAGCGGCGGUGAAUACGUUCCCGGGGCUUGUACACACCGCCCGU
RNAcentral lists this ribosomal RNA (503 nucleotides) under uncultured bacterium. RNAcentral's name for it is "partial 16S ribosomal RNA". It matches the Rfam family "Bacterial small subunit ribosomal RNA", at positions 899 to 1397 of the family's 1533-position model. The record is from RNAcentral.